Brachypodium distachyon (stiff brome) is the source of this 1644-nucleotide long non-coding RNA. RefSeq lists it as uncharacterized. The record is from RefSeq and is a predicted model, not a curated record. The transcript has 2 exons. NCBI's taxonomy places the organism in Eukaryota, Viridiplantae, Streptophyta, Magnoliopsida, Poales, Poaceae.
AUAUAAAUAUCAGUACCAUAUGUUCAUAGUCUAUAGUUCAAUUGAUCACAUCAUAUAAAGAAAUGAUCUAUUAUUUUACAUACUAAAAGUACAGAUAGAUGGCUAAAAAUUCCCACAAAAAAUCAAAACAUCUGGUCGUCAAUUUGGUACAUCAGAAAAUCAUUGCCCUUAAAUAGUUAAAUCUGGAAAAAUAUAUUUUUGCAUUUGAUGUUGACAGAAAUUACCCACCAAUGCCACCCUAAACUAAUUUUCCUCCCGCCCUUUACCCUGCCGCACCACUCCUCGGCUCUGAUACUCUCACGUUGGGCUCCCCAUCCACAUGACGCACCUCUCAAUCACUCGAGGUAAGGUUUCUCAACUCCUCCAGGCGCCUACCUCCGGCGAUCAACUAACCUGCCACAACUCCACCUUCAGACAACAGCCUUGCCCUCUCUUCCACCUGCUUCCUAUCCACGAUUUAUCAGAUCCAUCCAAGAUUUUGGUGACCCUAGCAGCAGCUGCUCCGAUCCUCUCCUCCCUUGGUUCACAGCUCCUCUCAAAGAGUAACUUCUUGGCCAUGCUCGCGUCCUUUGUGCGUGCACAUUAAUUUGGUUUGAGCCGCUUGCAGCCUCCAACUAUUAGGUUCUUCCCGCGUGCUCCGCAUGGAAAUCAGAUGACAUCGCCUUGCUUGCGCAGAACAUAAAGUUCAGAGCUCGAUUUGAGGUUAUUCUAUAACAUGCAGACGGAACACACAGCAAGAACUUCACAAAGCAAUUUUUGAUCCUUCCAUUGUUGUCCAAUGUAUUUCUUUUAUUUUCUGAUCAGCAGGUGCACUGUUAAACUGAAGCCAAAUACUUAUCAUGUCUCAACCACCCCCUUCAGUUUGGAAAUUAUGAAAGGUAUGUAGGACAUGCACACUGAUGAUUCCUGGUGACAGAAUGAAAAGCAAUAAUUUAUUAUGUUGUAUCCAAUCUGCAUUUGAAUUGAUGCACUUCUGACUUCAAAUUGAUGUCCAUCUGGAAAAGCCACUACGACAUCAGCAGCAGUUAGCAGUAGGUAGGUACAACCAACGGUUGAUCCCAUUCCUGUGGCAAUGAGCACAUCAGGGAAAGACAGCCAAAUCAGGUAGCUCUAAGAGCUAGCAGCGCCUAGAACUAAGAAGACUUCACUAUGGUUUAUAUGAGUCCUAGAACUGAUACAUGAACCACUACAGAUAUUGAAUUGAACCAUUUGACUGUGAUGACAAUCUAGAUAGUUAAUACUCACCCUGGUAUUGUAGGCUUAAUUUUCCUGAUUUGUUUGGUGUAAAGGUUACAAUACGUGUUUAUAUGUUGUUAUGGUAUAAUGACCUUUUCUCUUCUUUGGAUUAUCAGUUAUAUGGACUGACAAGAUCACAAACAAAAAGUUGGUGAUGACAAUUGUGGAGAUUUCAGACGACCAUCUACUCUUCCUCACCUUCCCAAUCAACACUCUAGAUUUGCUAUCUUUUACAUAUGUAUAUUAACUAAGUCUAGACCUAACAAAUCAAGCAUAUAUUUAUGUUUGCUACUUUAUACUCAGUUUGAUAGUAUAUUACUCAUUUAGUUUCUUUCACCUGAUGUCUUCAUUUAUGUUUUCGUCCUAUAUUCUACAUAAAACUAGAACCAUAGUUCAUCUGUAGUCAAA